AGGACUCCAUAGUGAAACUCUGUCUUAAGAACAAACACCUUUCUGAGAGCAGCCUCCAGAGCCCACCAGCCUCCUUUGAUAGAGACCUUGAAGACCUUCAAAGAUUGGGCUCCUGCGGUGACAAUGAGGGUGUAGAAUUUCUACCUCCCUCAGUGGCUGGGUCUGCCUGGUAGAGCCGAUUGCCGUUGCAUAUCUGGGCUCACUGUAGGUUUCUUGAGAUGUCCCAGGUACUAGAAGUCUGGGGAAAGAGAGGACAUAGAGCAUCUCCUCCUGCAAAAUGGGGACAGCUCGUGUGGCCACUGCUCACGGGUCCUUGCAUGCUGGGGCAGUGUUUGCCUCUCUCUUCCUCAGAGGAACCCCUUUUCCUUCCAUGAAGGAGGAAUGGGGUUUCUCCCUCUCGCUUCAGAGAACUUUGUUCUCGAGACCAGGGACAGCUUCAGUAUCCGGGUUGUGCUUGGCGCCCACGCUCACCACGGGGCCCUGCUGAAAGAGUGAAUUCCAAGUGCGUGGAGGGCUGUGGAUGACGUGUAUGAGUGUGAGUCUGUCAUGGAGCUAACCACCCAGGGCAGAGAUUUUUAUAACGGGAGCCUUGGUGAGCCUGUGCCUUAAUACCUGGGCACAGUGGACCCGAGGGAAAUUUGUCUCUGGAACAUCCCGGCUGAGCCUAAGAUCUAUACUGGCUGGGAACAGGAUGAUAAGUGGAGUUCCCUUUACCACAGGGCAAGGAAGUCUUCAGGGCUGUCCACAGUGAGCCUCUCUGCUAUCCCACAAGGGGGUCCUGUGCCAUAAGCAGUGGAUAGAGAAGAAGGCGUGAGAAAUGGGAGGCGCGUGCCUGACUCGCAGCCCAGACUCCUCCCCGCAGCUCUCGGCUCCGUACUUCUGUCUGAGUUAGUACAAAAGCCCUGCCCCACUCGUGGUCUCUUGCCCUGCGCUCCCAGCUCAAGAGCGCCAUGCGCCCAGCACGUCUUCCUCACUCCGGGGAUCAGCUCACGGAGUUUUAAAACCUACCGAGCUGGGUCGCCACAAAAUCCCGCAGCGCCACAACUUGGGGAAACGGUGACGGAGAUGUGGCCACACCGACCAUCUAAAGCGACCCCCAACUCCGAUGAAGCCUGGCUGGAAAGACGCGGCUUCCAUCCUGGGAGCCUGGAGGAGAAUCGAGCAGUGGCUAUUGCCUGGGCUUGCCUGGGCUUGUUCAGACAGGACUGCUCCCCUCGGUGACUGCACAGAUUGGGGGCUUUGGGAGACGUUGCCAGAAUCUGGAAGCCAAGGCCGGGGGCUACAGGGGCCCGGGGUCUGCGCACCUGCUCGCCGCGGAGCUCAGGAGUGCGUCCAGACAAACAACUUGACGGAGGAAAGCAAGAGAAAUGUAUUCGCUCGCAGUUCUGCAAGCCAAAAGUUUGAAACACAGCAGCGUCCACCCGUCUGUUGUCUCUGUGAAGGGAUCCCGCCCCAGCUUCCGAAGUCUGCCUGGGCCUGUGAUCCAGGGUCUGGUGUGGGAGGAAGGCAGAAGCCUGACUAUGAGGACAGAAGGGUCAGAAUACUAGUCGGACUACCAGAACCUGCCCAGGUACUGCCCCAGCGUGGAGGACGGCUGCUGGAACAAAGCCUAGUGUGUCUGUCGGCUCCCCUUGGGGUAGCUGAGCAAAGGUGUCGGCUUUGAGUUGCGGCUUCAUAAAGUGUUCCUCGGAGACAGGCACACCCUGAAUGAUGCCUGAGACCUGCUGGGCCGCUCCCAGCCACAGGCAGCUGCCUCCUGUUGCUAUGUGAAUUCCAUCAGGGUUCUCUCUGCUCCUUUCUCUGCCCCUCUGCUACCUUAGGAAAAAUGGGGGGUCUGGGGUCUGUAUUUCCGGUUUGAGUUUUACAGUUGGGAACCCACCCUGCAUCUACUGGGAAACCCUCCGUGUGCCUCCAGCUUCCUCUUUGGGCUCUUGCCUGCCGGUUCUCUUCGGCUGACUCUCAAAGACUCCCCUUCUUUGGACAGCUCAGAAGCACAUGGUCAGAACCCAAGUGACAGACGUCCAGCUGGCUUCAUCGCAACUGCGUCUGUGACCUUCCACCCAGACAGGGCUGUGUGUUGUAGAUGCUCCCCCUAUGCCAGGCACGGGGUGAAAGGGAAGAGAAGCGAAAUCUGCCUGCUCAGACCUCUUGAUCCUGGGUAACAAGGAAAUUGCCCUUGAUGCUCUCAGUCUAGGGCUCCGCCCCCCAGCUCAGCUAUGCCAAUCAGCACCUUGGUGAAUCCACCAAGCCAAGCCAUCCCCUUAACAAACCAGCAGCCCCCAAGAAUUCAGGGCUUCUUUCUGACAUCUAGGAGCAAGAGGGACAGAUGGACCCUGUGUGCUCACAGCAGAGUUUAGGAAGGGGACCCCUCACAGCUGAAGGCGGCCUCUGUGCUCCUAGAGGCAGCUGACCAUGCCUUUGCCCGUGGACAGCGCCGGGCCCUGUGGAUUCCAGGGUCUGGAGUAGAGCCAGCCAGCCCAUGGAUGGACAGUGGAACUGCUUUCUCCAAAUAGCUGCCUACAGAGAUAGAGCAGCCCUGAGAUUUGGCCCUGAGCGUGGCCAAGCACAGCUCCAGGCCCCACCCAGCCUCACCCAGCCUCACCCCCAUGACUGACUGGACAGGCCAGCAUGCUCAGGUGUGGAGACUGGGGGUUUUCCUCCCUCUCCCCCCUUCUCCUCUCCUCUCUGUUCUCUCUUUUCUCCAUUAGCUCUUGGAUUAGCAUCCAGAUGACUCAGGGGAGGCGGUCUGGUGCCUGCUUCCCUGGGCAAAGGAGCAGCGGUGGGGAGGGACAAGGAACAGGUGAGUGCACACCUCUGGAGGGGCCCAGGUAGGUGCUGGCAGCUUGCCUAGCUCCUAGCAGCUGUGCUAUGCCUGAGGGGGCAGUGAGCUGAGCAUGUCAGACAGGUGGAGCCAGGCUGCCCGUCCCAGACACACAGGUCCUCUCUUGGGUUACUGAACAGGGAAACACCCUUUCCUUUCCCCCACUGCCUUAGUUCCCUGGCACCUCCAGGGACCACUUCCAACAUCUGAAGAGGACACUGGAAGCGGAGAACGGGUUGCGAAUUCGCUUGGAGAGACCCUGGUUGAGUUCGAGUGUGGAAACACAAUCUUGGCCUUGGAGAAGCACUUGUGGUUUUCAGGCCCUUGGUUCUGAGAAGCCGAUCUCACAAGGAGCCCAAAUGUUUAGUGACAAAUUGAGGGGACAGGUCCAGAAACCUUAGGGAGGUCUGUCACUGGAAGAGAACUCUGGAAGAGAAGCUUUAUUGGGUAAUGUGAGCUUUUUCCUUCCGGGGGAGGGGAGGCUGCCUCUGCUCAGUGACAGCACCUGGCUUUAUUGGGGUGACCCUCUUUGGUUUCUGUAGGGGGGAGAAGGGCUAGACUUCCUCAAAUACAACCAUAAAUUACAGACACUUACUGGGAGUG
RNAcentral lists this small RNA (3424 nucleotides) under Rattus norvegicus (Norway rat). RNAcentral describes it as "uncharacterized LOC103692514". Lineage: Eukaryota; Metazoa; Chordata; Mammalia; Rodentia; Muridae. The record is from RNAcentral.